UCCUACGGGGGGCAGCAGUGGGGAAUAUUGCACAAUGGGCGCAAGCCUGAUGCAGCGACGCCGCGUGAGGGAUGACGGCCUUCGGGUUGUAAGCCUCUGUUAGCAGGGAAGAAGAGAGAUUGACGGUACCUGCAGAGAAAGCGCCGGCUAACUACGUGCCAGCAGCCGCGGUAAUACGUAGGGCGCGAGCGUUGUCCGGAAUUAUUGGGCGUAAAGAGCUUGUAGGCGGUUUGUCGCGUCUGCUGUGAAAGGCCGGGGCUUAACCCCGUGUAUUGCAGUGGGUACGGGCAGACUAGAGUGCAGUA
This 305-nucleotide ribosomal RNA is filed under the name uncultured bacterium. RNAcentral's name for it is "bacterial SSU rRNA". It matches the Rfam family "Bacterial small subunit ribosomal RNA", at positions 337 to 653 of the family's 1533-position model. The record is from RNAcentral.